AACGAACGCUGGCGGCAUGCCUAACACAUGCAAGUCGAACGAGACCUUCGGGUCUAGUGGCGCACGGGGGCGUAACGCGUGGGAACCUGCCCUUAGGUUCGGAAUAACUCCCCGAAAGGGGUGCUAAUACCGGAUAAUGUAUUCGGACAAAAGAUUUAUCGCCUUUGGAUGGGCCCGCGUUGGAUUAGCUAGUUGGUAGGGUAAAAGCCUACCAAGGCGACGAUCCAUAGCUGGUCUGAGAGGAUGAUCAGCCACACUGGGACUGAGACACGGCCCAGACUCCUACGGGAGGCAGCAGUGGGGAAUAUUGGACAAUGGGCGAAAGCCUGAUCCAGCAAUGCCGCGUGAGUGAUGAAGGCCUUAGGGUUGUAAAGCUCUUUUACCCGGGAUGAUAAUGACAGUACCGGGAGAAUAAGCUCCGGCUAACUCCGUG
RNAcentral lists this ribosomal RNA (433 nucleotides) under uncultured bacterium. Its description in RNAcentral is "partial 16S ribosomal RNA". It matches the Rfam family "Bacterial small subunit ribosomal RNA", at positions 29 to 507 of the family's 1533-position model. The record is from RNAcentral.